GCCUACGGGACGCAGCAGUGGGGAAUAUUGCACAAUGGGGGAAACCCUGAUGCAGCGACGCCGCGUGAGUGAAGAAGUAUCUCGGUACGUAAAGCUCUAUCCGCAGGGAAGAAAAAAAGUCUUUGGCUUUGGACGGUACCUGACUAAGAAGCCCCGGCUACCUACGUGCCAGCAGCCGCGGUAAUACGUAGUGGGCAAGCGUUAUCCGGAUUUACUGGGUGUAAAGGGAGCGUAGACGGCAGCGCAAGUCUGGAGUGACAUGCCGGGGCUCAACACCGGAACUGCUUUGGAAACUGU
RNAcentral lists this ribosomal RNA (297 nucleotides) under uncultured bacterium. RNAcentral's name for it is "partial 16S ribosomal RNA". It matches the Rfam family "Bacterial small subunit ribosomal RNA", at positions 337 to 636 of the family's 1533-position model. The record is from RNAcentral.